This 452-nucleotide ribosomal RNA is filed under the name Graphis betulina. RNAcentral describes it as "eukaryotic LSU rRNA". It matches the Rfam family "Eukaryotic large subunit ribosomal RNA", at positions 143 to 599 of the family's 3401-position model. The record is from RNAcentral. Lineage: Eukaryota; Fungi; Ascomycota; Lecanoromycetes; Ostropales; Graphidaceae.
UUGUAAUUUGGAGAAGGUGUUUCGGAAAAGAUGAUGGUACAAGUCCCUUGGAACAGGGCGUCGCAGAGGGUGAGAAUCCCGUAUGUGACCAAUCAUCGAUUCCAUGUGAAACCCUUUCGACGAGUCGAGUUGUUUGGGAAUGCAGCUCUAAAUGGGUGGUAAAUUUCAUCUAAAGCUAAAUACCUGCCAGAGACCGAUAGCGCACAAGUAGAGUGAUCGAAAGAUGAAAAGCACUUUGAAAAGAGAGUCAAACAGUACGUGAAAUUGUUGAAAGGGAAGCGCUUGCAAUCAGACUCGUUUGCAGAAGUUCAGCCUUCCUUUGGGAUGGUGUAUUCUUCUGUCAACGGGCCAGCAUCAGUUUCGGCGGUUGGAUAAAGACUUUGAGAAUGUAUCUCUCCUCGGAGAGUGUUAUAGCUCGGAGUGUAAUGCAGCAGCUGAGACUGAGGUCCGCG